AGGCCCAGCCCCUCUGCCGCAGGAGCCCCUCUCAGAUAACUUGCGGAGUUAUUCAUUGCUGGUUUCGGUUCUCUUCUGGCAACGACCGUAUCUUCGUACUCAAGGCUCGGUCUUCUCAUCUGUGAAAUGGGCGCUGAUGUGAGUGUUGAGCACAGGGCACCACGCACAUCGCCUUCCACUGGUGUCUCACCCACCAGGCUGCCCUCCCAUGACUGCUCUCCAGGGCUCUCCGUUCCCGGAUGUGCCAGGUCCUGCACUGUCCUCUAGGCCUGGCGCCUGCCGACAGCAGGUCACACAGCCACCCGCAUCGUCGGCGUUGGCCUCCACCAGCUGCCCUGCUCACCAGCCUCCUCAAGGCCAAGUGCUCCCAGGGUGCGCCGUGGGACAUGGGACUCCGCUGCCGGAGGGCAAGGAGCUUUGCCGGGCUUCUGAGCCCUCGCCCAGCCCUGCCUGGUCCUCUGUGAGCCACCAAGACCAAGGCCCAGCUGUUGCCUGUUUGGAUGUGGGAGUGGAGGGUCUCAAGGUCCCAGCUGUCUCACCCGGGACUAGGACAGGGCCACUCCUGGCCCUUCCCAUCUCCAGCCUCGAUUGGACAAGCUCAGACCACAUGCCUGGCCCAGGGCCACUGGAGACACAGGGCACACCCUAGUCCCUGCCCAGGGGGAGCCCCCGGUUGGGGGGAGAUGGACCCGAGGCCAGCGGUCUGUGGGAUGUCAGGGGGGGCCCCAAACACAACCUGGGUGCGGACAGCAGGGGUGUCCCAGCGGAGGGGAGGCGAAUGGAGGGUGUUUAAUUGUGUUUGUCCUCAGUUAGGGACAUCAAACGUGCUUCUGUAAGAGCUUCGGGCAGGAGCCAGGACGUGGGCCUCCCGGGGCUCCUCCGGCCACAGUGCGGCCCUUUGCUGCUUUCUCUUGGCCUCGACCCACGGACUGUCCGUGGGUUUGUUCUACACCCGUGGGGCCUCCAGAGCGGCAGGACCGUUUACCUCAUCUUCCCCAGCACCCCGAGUCGGCUGGGGCUGCGGCAACACCACCGCGGACCAGGCGGCUUAAACAGCUGGGGUGUUUUCUCCCAGUUUGGGAUGAAGAAGCCUUUCUCCCGAGGCCUCUCUCCUUGGCUUGCCCACGGCUGUCUUCCCCGUGUCCUCAUGUGGUUGUCCUCUGUGUGCCUGUGUCCUAAGCUCUUUUAUGGGGACACCAGGCCUGUGGCAUCGGGGACCACCCCAUUGCUCUCAUUUCACUUUACUCACCUCUUUAAAGGCCCAGUACAGUCACAUUCUGAGGCUCAGGGGUUAGGGCUCCAGCCUGUGCACUUUAGGGGACACACCCCGCCCGUCACAUCCCUGGAACCCGGGCGCGAGGGGCACUGGAAGGCGGCUGCAGAGAGAAGACAGGCAGAGGGCGCCCUGGGCGAGGACCCAGCCUGGGCAGAGGUCCAGGGGCCUGAUCACCUUCUCACGUGCUCCCCAGACUUAUCUCCCGGGGCCCCGGCGGGAGCCAGGAAACCCAGGACU
This is a non-coding RNA of Miniopterus natalensis, 1513 nucleotides long. Lineage: Eukaryota; Metazoa; Chordata; Mammalia; Chiroptera; Miniopteridae. The record is from RefSeq and is a predicted model, not a curated record.